Molecule: ribosomal RNA, 80 nt
Filed under: Finegoldia magna
Lineage: Bacteria; Bacillati; Bacillota; Tissierellia; Tissierellales; Peptoniphilaceae
Source: RNAcentral
UGCCGAACACAGAAGUUAAGCCUCUUAACGCCGAUGGUACUACGAUGGAAACGUCGUGGGAGAGUAGGUAGUCGCCAAAC